This 87-nucleotide transfer RNA is filed under the name Actinomycetota bacterium. RNAcentral describes it as "Actinobacteria bacterium (freshwater metagenome) tRNA-Leu". It matches the Rfam family "tRNA". Rfam says of the family: Transfer RNA (tRNA) molecules are approximately 80 nucleotides in length. Their secondary structure includes four short double-helical elements and three loops (D, anti-codon, and T loops). The record is from RNAcentral. Lineage: Bacteria; Bacillati; Actinomycetota.
GCGAGCGUGGCGGAACCGGCAGACGCGCCAGGUUUAGGUCCUGGUGUCCGACAGGACGUGGGGGUUCGACUCCCCCCGCUCGCACUA